UGCGGUUAAAAAGCUCGUAGUUGGAUUUCUGUCGAAGAUGAUCGGUCCGCUCUACGAGCGUGUAUCUGAUGCGCCUUUGGCAUCCUUGUGGAGAACGUAACUGUGCUUGACUGCAUGGCGCGGAAGUCACAACUUUUACUUUGAGGAAAUUAGAGUGUUCACGGCAGGCACGCGCCCUGAAUAUAUUAGCAUGGAAUAAUGAUGCAGGACUGUAGUUCUAUUUUGUUGGCUUCUAGGACUAGAGUAAUGAUUGAUAGGGAUAGCUGGGGGCACUUGUAUUAACGCGUCAGAGGUGAAAUUCUUGGAUUGCGCUACGACAAACUACUGCGAAGGCAUUUGUCAAGGAUGUUUUCAUUGAUCAAGAACGAAAGUAUGGGGAUCGAAGAUGAUUAGAUACCGUCGUAGUCUAUACCAUAAGCUAUGCCAACUAGAGAUUGGAGGUCGCUAUUUCCAUGGCUCCUUCAGCAUCUUAUGAGAAAUCAGAGUCUUUGGGUUCCGGGGGGAGUAUGGUCGCAAGGCUGAAACU
This 526-nucleotide ribosomal RNA is filed under the name uncultured marine eukaryote. Its description in RNAcentral is "SSU rRNA". It matches the Rfam family "Eukaryotic small subunit ribosomal RNA", at positions 614 to 1144 of the family's 1831-position model. The record is from RNAcentral.